This 412-nucleotide ribosomal RNA is filed under the name uncultured Desulfobacteraceae bacterium. RNAcentral's name for it is "bacterial SSU rRNA". It matches the Rfam family "Bacterial small subunit ribosomal RNA", at positions 971 to 1382 of the family's 1533-position model. Lineage: Bacteria; Pseudomonadati; Thermodesulfobacteriota; Desulfobacteria; Desulfobacterales; Desulfobacteraceae. The record is from RNAcentral.
UUACCUGGACUUGACUAUCUGGGGAAUCCCUAUGAAAUAGGGAGUGCCUUCGGGGAGCCCCAAGACAGGUGCUGCAUGGCUGUCGUCAGCUCGUGUCGUGAGAUGUUGGGUUAAGUCCCGCAACGAGCGCAACCCUUGUCUCUAGUUACCAUCAUUUGGUUGGGGACUCUAGAGAUACUGCCAAGGUUAACUUGGAGGAAGGUGGGGAUGACGUCAAGUCCUCAUGGCCUUUAUGUCCAGGGCUACACACGUGCUACAAUGGACGGUACAGAGGGUCGCAAUAUCGCGAGAUGGAGCCAAUCCCAAAAAGCCGUUCCCAGUUCGGAUUGGAGUCUGCAACUCGACUCCAUGAAGUUGGAACCGCUAGUAAUCGCGGAUCAGCAUGCCGCGGUCGAAUACGUUCCCGGGCCUU